This 252-nucleotide ribosomal RNA is filed under the name uncultured bacterium. RNAcentral describes it as "partial 16S ribosomal RNA". It matches the Rfam family "Bacterial small subunit ribosomal RNA", at positions 524 to 776 of the family's 1533-position model. The record is from RNAcentral.
GACGGAGGGUGCAAACGUUGCUCGGAAUUACUGGGCGUAAAGCGCGUGUAGGCGGGCAUGCAAGUCGAGUGUGAAAUCCCUGGCUCAACCCAGGAACUGCAUUCGAAACUGCACGUCUAGAGUGUCGGAGAGGGAAGCGGAAUUCCUGGUGUAGCAGUGAAAUGCGUAGAUAUCAGGAGGAAUACCGAUGGCGAAGGCAGGUCUCUGGGCUGACACUGACGCUCAUGCACGAAAGCGUGGGGAGCAAACAGG